RNAcentral lists this transfer RNA (77 nucleotides) under Candidatus Peregrinibacteria bacterium. RNAcentral's name for it is "tRNA-Met". It matches the Rfam family "tRNA". From Rfam's summary of the family: Transfer RNA (tRNA) molecules are approximately 80 nucleotides in length. Their secondary structure includes four short double-helical elements and three loops (D, anti-codon, and T loops). Further hydrogen bonds mediate the characteristic L-shaped molecular structure. tRNAs have two regions of fundamental functional importance: the anti-codon, which is responsible for specific mRNA codon recognition, and the 3' end, to which the tRNAs corresponding amino acid is attached (by aminoacyl-tRNA synthetases). tRNAs cope with the degeneracy of the genetic code in two manners: having more than one tRNA (with a specific anti-codon) for a particular amino acid; and 'wobble' base-pairing, i.e. permitting non-standard base-pairing at the 3rd anti-codon position. Lineage: Bacteria; Candidatus Peregrinibacteriota. The record is from RNAcentral.
GUCAGGGUAGCUCAGCUGGUUAGAGCGUUGGAUUCAUAACCCAGAGGUCGGGAGUUCAAGUCUCCCCCCUGACACCA